CCUACGGGAGGCAGCAGUGAGGAAUAUUGGUCAAUGGGAGAGAUCCUGAACCAGCCAAGCCGCGUGAGGGAAGACGGCCCUAUGGGUUGUAAACCUCUUUUGUCGGAGAACAAAACCCGGGACGUGUCCCGGACUGCGUGUAUCCGAAGAAAAAGCAUCGGCUAACUCCGUGCCAGCAGCCGCGGUAAUACGGAGGAUGCGAGCGUUAUCCGGAUUUAUUGGGUUUAAAGGGUGCGUAGGCGGUCCGUUAAGUCAGCGGGAAAAUUGCGGGGCUCAACCCCGUCGAGCCGUUGAAACUGGCAGACUUGAGUUGGCGAGAAGUACGCGGAAUGCGCGGUGUAGCGGUGAAAUGCAUAGAUAUCGCGCAGAACACCGAUUGCGAAGGCAGCGUACCGGCGCCAGACUGACGCUGAGGCACGAAAGCGUGGGGAUCGAACAGGAGUAGAUACCCCAGUAGUC
RNAcentral lists this ribosomal RNA (459 nucleotides) under uncultured bacterium. Its description in RNAcentral is "partial 16S ribosomal RNA". It matches the Rfam family "Bacterial small subunit ribosomal RNA", at positions 338 to 795 of the family's 1533-position model. The record is from RNAcentral.